CUUAAUUACAAUUCGCCCCAUACCAAAUGAAUUCUUUCCCUGAGUUUCCCCCAGUCCUCGUUCUGCCGAUAAGAAGUGAUGUUCAAUUCAGCCACAACAUUAUCAUCAACUUCCAACUUCUUGUACUGCUCGACCAAAGACUUAGUUCGCUCAAUUCCUUGGGAGGCAUUACGCCUUUUAGCAGCUAUUCUCGCCUUGCAGUCGUCCAUCUUGGCUUGAAGCUCCUUCAUCUGAGCAACCAAACUAGUCAUCAAAGAGUUUUCAAUCAUGACUUCGGAAGAGAUUUCUUUCAACUCGUCCUCAACUUUGUUGAUCUCCAGAAGCAAAGACUCUUUUUCAGAUACGGCGCGAAGAUAUUGAGUACUUUUGGCCUUUAGUUUAACAUUCUUGGCCAGCAAGGAGAGGACCUCGGAAUGGAUAACUUUCAACGUCGCUUUAAAAUUAGCAGAAAGAUUGAGCGACGAAAGUGUCAGUGCUUGCUCCAAUUUCGAAUUCAAAUGCUCAAACUUAUCCUUAUGCCUAGCAACACUAGCCUUACCGAUAUCCAUAUCCAUGAAGGACACAUACUCAAAUAUCGACUGCUUGAGAAACUUCAUAUCGUCCUCUGAAGAAGCAGAA
Molecule: long non-coding RNA, 618 nt
Filed under: Olea europaea subsp. europaea
Lineage: Eukaryota; Viridiplantae; Streptophyta; Magnoliopsida; Lamiales; Oleaceae
Source: RNAcentral